This is a long non-coding RNA of Astyanax mexicanus (Mexican tetra), 2085 nucleotides long. RefSeq lists it as uncharacterized. The transcript is spliced from 3 exons. NCBI's taxonomy places the organism in Eukaryota, Metazoa, Chordata, Actinopteri, Characiformes, Acestrorhamphidae. The record is from RefSeq and is a predicted model, not a curated record.
UUUUAUACUCCUGUGGGAGGUUAGUUGAUGUGCUGUAACAACAAAAAGAUUAUUGUUUUUUUGUGCUUUUAUAUUUACUACAGUUCUCUGCACCAACCCGCCAACGCCUUAAGACUUCAACCCCCAAUUACGACUUCAAGCCCCCUAAAGGGCUAAAAACGAUAGUAUGGGGUAUUUAUGCCUGGAAGAAUAUUGUAAUAGGAGUUCAAGCACCCCUAUAGUGGAUCAUACCAUUCCAUGUUAAUAAGCAUUCCUCUCGUUUACCUGCCUGGCUCAUUAUUGGUCAGGUGACUUGCGUCUAAGUUAAGGUGCACAAGCUGCCCAAGCUACAGCAUUACGUACUUACACACGCAGUGGCCCCUGUCCCUGUCCGUCCAGGACGAGUACGGAGAUCCAGUCAGUGCAUGAAGAGGUGGAAGGCAAUUGGCGUUCUCGGCAUCAUUUUCUGAUGAGAAGGACUUGAGUAAACAUGGCUCACUCUCUAAGCAGAGAAGGGAACUUGCAUGUUGGUGACGGCCUCGCGACACGCCCUUCACUGGCCCUUCAGCGCGCGCCAGGGCCUGCGUCCUUCCCGAUUGCUGUCGGGCCCUGAGCGCGCGCCGGGACUCUCUCAGUCCGAGCGGUGAUCCCUCUUCUUUCUGGACGUCCUGGGUGGUCGGGUGCCAAAAAGGGAACACACAUACAUGCCAAGUAGUGAGCGGGGACAAAAGAGGGAAAUGUAACCCUGCGUCAGAGACCCGUUGGAAGCAUUUGUUCCAGUCAAGAUUUUGCAUUUGUUCAGCGCAGAAAAUAAUGCUUGAUUGACGCUUGCGCACAAUGUCCUUUAACUUUCUGGGAUAAAUCCGUGCUUGUUCCUUGUUGUCAUGGUUUUCAAUGGGGGCGAAUGAGAUCUGGGCCACUAUGUACUGCUCCGCGUCUACUGGCCAACAAAGUCUAUCCUGAAUUAUUAGUUAUGUGCUUAAGAGCAUACUUAAAAAGCUUUUAAUCCAAGCCAAUUAAAAAUUUUAUUUGAGUUACAUUUAAACAACCAGGAUCUCAUAAUCAGUGACACAGCCCUUCACAGCAAAAAUAAAAUGAUAAUUUACACUCACAUUCUUAGCAUCGUUAGCACUGUUAUGUAAAACAUUAUUCAGGAAUUUUCCAUAUGUUUUUAUUGACCUACAUGUAUCGUCACUGCAUCAGGCACCUCAUAUACUGUCAAUGUAUAGAUUACAGUAGGGCUUGUAGCAACGCGUGUCCAAAAGUUUGUCAAGCUCUCUGCAAGCUCUCUGCAAGUGCAAACGAUAGCUCUUGUGCACGCAAGUUUGUUAUACCAACGACCUCUUGUGUCUUCUUAAUCUAUUAAACACCCACAGCAAGAAGGAGAGCUUACACGCUCUUCUCUCUAGAGUCAAAUAUUUACCCAGGCACUACAAAUAAGACAGAAAGCUGAAAGAAUCUCCUCUUCCUUUUAUACAAUAGGUAAGCCAUUUCAGAUACAUUGAAACAUGAAACCUUUUUUCUUGUUGUGGGACAGAAAAAAUAAUUCACGUUUAUUCACGUAUAAUAAAAAUACUCGGACAAAAUACACCGAAUGAACACAAUAAAAAUGUUUUAUAUAUUAAUAAAAAUAGCAUUAUUUUCUUAUGCUAACUACAAUCUAUAACGAAAAUACGUCGCUAAUAUAUAUUAUGUGAUUUAAAGGGAUUUUUUUUACAUGUGAACGCUUAUAUCUUUGUUUAACGUAGUCGUUGUGUUUCUAUAUUCGUUAUGGUGUAGUUAGCUGAAUGUUUUUGGACAGUUUUAGGUAAUCGCCAUCACAGUAAAUAAAGCGGAGACAUAGCACGGCUAUCUGUAUUUUGGAAAUCCUGCUUUUUCCCAAGGACAGAAGCUUUGUGGCUUAUGUCUUUCCUGUUAUAAUCCUUUGAGUGUAUGUUCUUUUUAUUACAGGCAGUAUGAACCCAUGCUAUUUAUGUUUAUGUUUUUUGUUCUGGUCAGCUUAUUUUUUAUUUGAUACUAUAUAUCAAUUUAUUCCCAAAUAAUAUAUACAUACAUAAUCAAUUUUGUAAUGUUGCCAUCCGUUUUCAAAACAUUAAAAAAAAUGAC